Long non-coding RNA from Solanum stenotomum, 1477 nucleotides. RefSeq lists it as uncharacterized. The transcript has 5 exons. Lineage: Eukaryota; Viridiplantae; Streptophyta; Magnoliopsida; Solanales; Solanaceae. The record is from RefSeq and is a predicted model, not a curated record.
CUUAAUGAACUGAUUAUGUCUUGUGUUGUAUGUGCCGUGAUGCAUUCCUCCUCAUGCAGCAUAUCAUUAUUUCAUGGAAAUAUGAGAAAGUGGAGAAGUACUGUCUUUUAAAGAAAAAUAGUUUGACACCUUACUUAUAUUAUUGACCAUGCUGAGGUAGCAAGUUGCUUUUCUAACAAUGCAACUCGAGGAAUCCUAAUCUUAUGUUAUGCAUGAAGUGAGUAGAGCUUCAUGGAGAUCGUGUUGGCUAUGAUGAUCCAACCAUGGUGACUUACAUUGGGCGCAUUGAAGGUAGAAUUUAUCUCUUCAUUGGUCAUCAGAAAGGUAGAAACACAAACGAAAAACAUCAUGUAAAACUUUGCAAUGCCAACCCCUCAUAGGUAUGCUUCAAGCAUUCUCAUUCAUAGCAAUAUUACUAAUUACUAUCAUUAAGCAUUUCAGGUAAUCUGUUCUGUGGUUAAUAACAUGUUAAAUUGAAUUGAUGUUUUCAUUAAUUCAAAGUGAAAUUAGAUUAGCAACAAGUUAGGCUGAAGUUGUUGCUCAUAAGCCUCUGAACAUGUUCAUAGUUAUCAGAUUUUUGGAGAGUCUAUGCAGCGUUCAGCUUUUUGAAAGGAAUAUUGUUUAAUUUGAUACCACAAGGUUAGUUUUGUAAAAGAUGAAUUGAUAACUACUAAAUCUUCGCCGUGCAACUACAAAAGGCUUUGAGAAUGAUGAAAUGUGCUGAUCAUUGUGUCUUGUUACAUUUGUUGACACUCCGGGGGCUUUUGCUUAUUUAAGAUCUGAAGAGCUAGGUCAGGGCAUGUUUGGGCUGAAAGUUCCAAUCAUAACAGUUGUAAUUAAUGAAGGAGGUUCAGGCAGAGCUCUUGCCAUCGGAUGUGAUUAAUGUACAACAUUUUAUGUUACUAGGUACCCCGAAUCAGGCUUCUGCCAGCACACCAGGUUGAUUCUAAGAGUGGGUUGCAAAUUGAUAAUAUUCUGACAAAGAUCACUCCAAGAAUAGAGCACUAAUCAUCAGAAUCAGAAUGACAAGGUGAUUUGUCCUGAGCCUGUUGUCCCUCGUGUCUCAGCUCUUGUUGUCCCCUGUCAGAUUGGAGAUUUUCUUCUGUCUCUUGGGGUUUUUCAAUGUUCUGCACAGUAUCUGAGCAAGAGGGAAUGGUCAGUAGGUUUGAAGUCCCGGGAGAAGAACCCACACCGGUGAAAUAGGAAUAUCUUCCUCCAGCUUGAAAUUCGGAGUUCAUUUUUGGAGCCACAUUUGCAUUCCAUCAAGUUCAAUGACUCUUUUAAACCAAACCACUUUGAAAUCGUCAUCAUUUGUGAAAUCUAGAAAGUAUAUUAGGAUCAAAUUUGUAGUUGUUGUUCCAGAGUUUGGUUGCUCAUGGUCAAAUGAAUUGAUGGGCGUAUUUGGUAGUUUUUUCAGCAUAUUCGUCGCAGUUGUUAUUCAUUUACCCAUUAGUGCCACCUCUAUUUAUUUAUCUAU